AACGAACGCUGGCGGCAUGCCUAACACAUGCAAGUCGAACGAGACCUUCGGGUCUAGUGGCGCAUGGGUGCGCAACGCGUGGGAACCUGCCCUUAGGUUCGGAAUAACUCCCCGAAAGGGGUGCUAAUACCGGAUAAUGUCUUCGGACCAAAGAUUUAUCGCCUUUGGAUGGGCCCGCGUUGGAUUAGCUAGUUGGUAGGGUAAAAGCCUACCAAGGCGACGAUCCAUAGCUGGUCUGAGAGGAUGAUCAGCCACACUGGGACUGAGACACGGCCCAGACUCCUACGGGAGGCAGCAGUGGGGAAUAUUGGACAAUGGGCGAAAGCCUGAUCCAGCAAUGCCGCGUGAGUGAUGAAGGCCUUAGGGUUGUAAAGCUCUUUUACCCGGGAUGAUAAUGACAGUACCGGGAGAAUAAGCUCCGGCUAACUCCGUG
This 433-nucleotide ribosomal RNA is filed under the name uncultured bacterium. RNAcentral describes it as "partial 16S ribosomal RNA". It matches the Rfam family "Bacterial small subunit ribosomal RNA", at positions 29 to 507 of the family's 1533-position model. The record is from RNAcentral.